RNAcentral lists this transfer RNA (77 nucleotides) under Gemmatimonadota bacterium. RNAcentral's name for it is "Gemmatimonadetes bacterium tRNA-Arg". It matches the Rfam family "tRNA". From Rfam's summary of the family: Transfer RNA (tRNA) molecules are approximately 80 nucleotides in length. The record is from RNAcentral. Lineage: Bacteria; Pseudomonadati; Gemmatimonadota. RNAcentral also lists the same sequence under 1 other name.
GGGUUAGUAGCUCAGCUGGAUAGAGCACCGGUUUCCGGAACCGGGGGUCCCAGGUUCGAAUCCUGGCUAGCUCACCA